AAACACAGAUGGUAUGCACAUGUAUAUGAAUGCUUUGUUCAAACGUCUUCAUUCAAUUUAUAAGUGAGAGUAAGUGACGUGCAUACACAAAAACAUGAAUUGUUGUCUGCUGUACAUUAGAGGUUUGAGUACUGGAGGAAAUCACUGAAACUGAAUUUGGGGUGCUAACCGUGAAUGGAGGUAAAAUGGGCAGAGUGAUUUGUAGAUGAAGUCUUUAGAGCUUUC
This 225-nucleotide long non-coding RNA is filed under the name Salvia miltiorrhiza (redroot sage). Its description in RNAcentral is "long non-coding RNA (SMIL_LNC002671)". The record is from RNAcentral. Lineage: Eukaryota; Viridiplantae; Streptophyta; Magnoliopsida; Lamiales; Lamiaceae.